GCACUGCUGAGGAGUUCCGUGCCAGGACGAAACGGCCGUCCAGUGC
This 46-nucleotide non-coding RNA is filed under the name Schistosoma margrebowiei. The record is from RNAcentral. Lineage: Eukaryota; Metazoa; Platyhelminthes; Trematoda; Strigeidida; Schistosomatidae.